This 253-nucleotide ribosomal RNA is filed under the name uncultured bacterium. Its description in RNAcentral is "partial 16S ribosomal RNA". It matches the Rfam family "Bacterial small subunit ribosomal RNA", at positions 524 to 776 of the family's 1533-position model. The record is from RNAcentral.
UACGGAGGGUGCUAGCGUUGUUCGGAAUCACUGGGCGUAAAGCGCGUGUAGGCGGCCCACUAAGUCUGAUGUGAAAGCCCGGGGCUCACCCCCGGAAGUGCAUUGGAAACUGGUGGACUCGAGUCCCGGAGAGGAGAGUGGAAUUCCUGGUGUAGCGGUAAAAUGCGUAGAUAUCAGGAGGAACACCGGUGGCGAAGGCGGCUCUCUGGACGGUGACUGACGCUGAGACGCGAAAGCGUGGGGAGCAAACAGG